AAUCACUGGGGUGAAGUCGUAACAAGGUAGCCGUAGGGGAACCUGCGGCUGGAUCACCUCCUUAAUCGA
RNAcentral lists this ribosomal RNA (69 nucleotides) under Pseudomonas sp. WS 5413. RNAcentral describes it as "partial 16S ribosomal RNA". It matches the Rfam family "Bacterial small subunit ribosomal RNA", at positions 1470 to 1533 of the family's 1533-position model. Lineage: Bacteria; Pseudomonadati; Pseudomonadota; Gammaproteobacteria; Pseudomonadales; Pseudomonadaceae. The record is from RNAcentral.